Molecule: non-coding RNA, 7507 nt
Organism: Phalacrocorax carbo (great cormorant)
Lineage: Eukaryota; Metazoa; Chordata; Aves; Suliformes; Phalacrocoracidae
Source: RefSeq, a predicted model, not a curated record
GCAAGCUCAUGAGGUAUGCGCAGGGAUAGAGGUCUGCAUGAUGGGGACUGAGUUUGGUGUUAAUCCUCAUAACAUCGCAUUAGACUCAUGGUGUUUCUAGUGCAAGGAUUUUGGAAGAGUGACUCUCCAGGCACUAUCAGAAGACAUGCAAAUGCAUGUAGAGCCAGCUCAUGCACCCAGCAGGGAACAAGCCUUCCCUUAAGGGUUUAUUUUUAACCUGGGUGCCUUUCCUGUCAGAUUUGGUCCCAUGGACGACAACUGCCAUUAAGAGAGAUGAGACCUGCAGCACGGGUAUGGAUGAGCAGCAGCGGGGGGAGGAAGGCGAUGGGAGGAGAAAGCCAGCUACUGUGCUGCAGCCACCUUCUCUGCAAAUUGCUGGGUGAGGGUAUUGCACUGGAGAUCACUCGGCCCAUUGAGGCAAAGCGAUGCCAGCUCGAGGAGCCCUGCAGCCCACUGGAUCCAGGGGAUAGUCUGAGAUCUGCUCUUGAUGUGGUGAAAGCCUGAGGGAGCCUUGCAGGUCCUCUGGGAUGUGGAGGGAGGUGAGGUUUUGGGCUGGCUGUAGAAAGGUGUGGAGGGCAUUCCUUGUGUUUCUGAGGGGUUACGGCAAGUGCAAAGGGUGAGCAAAGCUAUUCAGUUGGUGAGAUGAGGCUAUAAUUAAAGCCUUCUGACCUCCUUGCCUUACCUAAUUUCUCUUAAAUUGAACCUUAAAUCUACUUUCCUUUUCCUUACCCAAGGAUAAAUGCAAAAUAAUGCAAUUAGGUUCAAUGAAAAAACAAAUAGUGGAAAACUGAACAGAGAUAAGAAUCUGAUUUCAUUUCCUGUCAAAUGGUGGUCUUUCUGCUACUUCCUCGCCCUGGCAAAACCUCAAUUGCCAAGGGGACCUUUGCCUCAUCUAUCAUUCAAAAAUAUUAUUCCUCUUUAAUUUUAACACCCAAAGCCUCCAGUCAAGCAAAUAUUUAGCGUGUGCAAAGCUUGCACCAAACAAACUGGGACAAAUUCCCCACCACUGUAAUUAUCCUCCAACACUAUUCUUUGCUCUCAAAUAGCCAGGAUACUCUUGCACGGAGGCUGUGGCUCACUGGAGCCCUGAGGCAUCACACAGGGCUGCUCUGGCCACUUUUCCCACAGCAAAUCCUUCCUUUCUCCCCCAGGAAAGCACUCCAGUUUUAGUGCAGGCACAUGGCUCCCUGAGCAGUGAGGACUCGCCUGUGCCGGUGGAGAACAGAGGUGAAACUGGCACAUGGCUCUCCUCUGUGCCCACAUGUGGAGGCUUGCCCAAAGUCUGCCUUGGCUGUACCUCUGAAAGCAAUUGCUACCUGUGAGGGUUAGGCACCUGAAGGAGAUUGGGGAGUCUCCACAUUGUACCUACAUAUCCUAAAAAAAACAUGGCACUGGGGCCUCAGCUUCAUGUCUGUGAAAUGGCCGUGGUCCUUCCCCGGGGUCUUCAGGAGCGAGAGAGGAGAGGCUGUGUGAGCGUAGCAGAUGGAUUGCUUAAGCCCUGCCACAGUGCCCAGUGUCCAAAUCAGCUUUCCACUUGCACAUAAGAGUUAUUUUAUUCUGUGAUUCCAUGCAUCUGGUUCCGCAGGGGACACUUACCAGCAUGCUCUACUGGAAAUGUUCAUAGGUAGACAUAUUCUUGGUUUAGACCCAAGGAUAAUAAAAAUCAGUGGGGUAUGCCUUUCAUACCCUGUGCAUGGAAAGGGAAAUGAGACAUUGCUUUGUGCAAGGAUAUUGCGUUUUGGUUGUAAGGCAAUUUUUGGUUCCCUUCCUAGAAAGCCCCCUUGAUUUUAGUUUCCAUUUUCCCAUUAAGCAGUUAAAUUGUGGGAAACGUUCAGCUUUCCACUUCAACCUUUUUAAAGUAGUGUAAGUAACUACAAUUUGCUCUGGUUAAAGCAGCACUGCUGGACUCCAGCCCUUUGUGCAUGUACACAGGUUGCUAGAAAUAGCCUGUUUCUGUGGGUUGGCCGUGGUGGGCAGCUCAGCCCCUGCCAGCCACUCGCUCAUUCCCCCCCUGCUGGGAUGGGGGAGAGAUUGGACUGGUGAAAGUUCAAAAACUCGUGGGUUGAGAUAAAGGCAGUUUAAUAGGUAAAGCAAAAGCCACGCACACAAGCAAAGCAAAACACGGAAUUAGCUCACUACUCCCCAUGGGCAGGCAGGUGUUCAGCCACCUCCAGGAAAGCAGGGCUCCAUCAAGCAUAACAGUGACUUCGGAAGACAAAUGCCAUCACUCUGAAUGUUCCCCCUUCCUCCUUCUUCCCUCAGCUUUUACUCUUAAGCACACCACCAUACAGUGUGGAAUAUCCCUUUGGUGAGUUGGGGUCAGCUGUCCCAGCUGUGCCCCCUCCCACCGUCUUGCACUCCCUCAGCCUAUUCAUGGGCAGGGCAGCCUGAGAAGCAGAAAAGGCCUUGACUCCGUGUAAGCACCGCUCAGCAGUAAAUAAAACAUCCCUUUGGUUAUCAACACUGUUUUGGUGACAAAUCCAAAACAUGGCACCAUAUGAGCUGCUCUAAAGAAAAAUAACUCUAUCCCAGCCAAAACCUGUGCACCUGUUGUUUCCAGUGUAGAGGAGUAAUAAGUCAGAGCUUUUAUCCUGGUAUUUUGUUACAAGUGCGUUGUUCAAAGGACAUUGGGUGGACUAGAUCUGUAGGUAAAACUAAAGCCCUUUAUUAGUCCAGCUGUUACAAGUACAAAAAAUUAAGACGCUCUUUUGGGAACAGAGUCAUUCUUUGCUUUGGGGCUGUAGGCAUGAAAACUAGUUUUUUUUCCACCUGUACCAAUUUGUUUAAUAAAAGGCACAGGCUUGCAAUUGUGCACUCAUAGCAGGUGACUGCCUCUGUACUAUUGAAGCUACAACAGGGCAAGAAGUAUAAAAGUAGCACCUGGACAGGAGGAGUUCUGCAAGUAUACAGUGAGUGUAUAAAUCAGGUCAAAGAAAUGAACAAAUUAACCUGUCAAAUUCAAUAACUCAACAUUGCAUGUAAUCCAAAGUUCAACUUUGUUUAGGCUUUUGUUGCUCACUCAGGACCAACUGUUCCAGUAACUUGCUGCUGUUUGGAUUUUGAGUGUGUGUGUUAGCACUGUUGUUUCAAAGAAGUAAUAAAACUUCAAAAACUGGACUUUGAGUUUGCACUGUUUGUGCUUGGGAACUGCAAAUUUUUAAAUGGGAUUUGUCUUUAUCACAUGGAGAGAGUGUGUGUGAGAGAGAGGGAGUGAGUAAGAGGGAGAUCUUUACAUAUCUACAUCAUCUUGAAUUUCAAAGGGCUUUACAAAUCUUAGUCUUCCAAAAUCUACUAAAAUGCUGUGCUUUGCAUAUGAUUAUGUGAAGCUCAUUAGUAAGGGUACUAAUGAGCCUCUACACACCCGAGGCAGAUAAAUGAGGUUCCAGAGUAAAAUGAUUUGCUUAAGGUCAGACUCUUGUAAGCUGACAGCAGAGCUGGAAAUAGAAACCAUUGUUUCCCAGUUGCUCGUACCGUAUUCCCACGGAUGGAAUGUGUGUGUGUUUUUUUUUUUUAAGAUGAAAACACUGCUGUUUGUUCAUGCUGUUUUGCUUCUUGUGCUUUCAAUGUAAUCUUCAGAAAUGCAAAUGUCCUGACCUAAAGCUAUAUAAGGCCUUCAUUAAAAACCUCUCCACAGUAUCAGUCUUCAUGCAAUUGUAUGAAGCAGAAGGGAUAGCCCAAUUUAACAAUUCCCACGCCUCAUAAAAUGAUUGGCCUAGUUUCUUUAAAGUGGGUUUAAGCCAUAGCCUCCGAUGUGAUUUAACACGGAAGCCACACUAUUAACAGUCUAUCUUCUGCCAUUAAGGUAGUGAGUUACUGGAAAGUGAGGGAAGCAGUGUUUGUCUUUCAUGCACUAAUAGACAAUUUUACAUUUUUUUUUUUUUAAUCUUUAUUUUGAGUCUGCAGUGGAGCACACUGACAUUCCUUCUCUCUUCUGCUUUGAGGAGCUGUGAUUGGGAUGGGGAUGAGUGUAGGGAGGUGCAAAACUGGUGCUGCACAAGAGAAGCCCCAGUAUCAGCAUCAGGGCUCUGCCCUGGACACAGGCAGCAACUGAAACACCCCUGCCCACAUCCCAAAGAGAAACUGGGGAUAGUGUUCCCACUCUGGAAAUGGAGAGAGGCUGCAUUAGGGAGAUGCCUAGAAAGUGCUGGUUACACCCUUCAAAGGGUACUGCACCUCCACGGUGGUGUGCUUUACCUGUGAAGGGUGAAACCUCUUCCAUGCUUUUCCUCUUCUCUCCACUACUGUCCCUCCUUCCCUGCUGUGUGUAGAGCGUGCCUUCUCCUCACUUCCCUGUUAUUGCUGGAGCAGAACAGCUGUUGGUCUUGUCAACGAUUUGGAGCAAGGCCAGUGAAAGGGGUUUUUGGCAAUUCUAGGCUUGCAGGGAAGACUUGCGGCCCAGAAAAAACAGAAAAGAUAUAUAUACACACAUAUAUAUGUAGAUAUACACAUAUAUACGCAUAUAUGCAGAUACACAUGAGAAACAAAGCAAGGGAGAGUCUGCCAACAAGCCUACCAUGUGAAUGCGUGCAUGUAUUUUUUUGGCAGGGCACAUGUGACCGUGCCUGCAUAUUUUAUACCAUCUCUUUGUAGUCUUCUCAUCCUGAGCCCGUUUUAGGCUUGGAUGGCCGGGGACAUGAAAUCGUUGCCUGGGAUGGUGGUGCUGAGAAAGGCGUAAGUACCUGCAGCCGUGGUUUACCUGCGACUGGCCUUUGUGGCACAUGGCAUGGACCAUCUAUCCCUGGGCAGAUGUUGUUUUCCCCACCAGCGCUUGAGCCGGCGUGUACAACGCUGGCAAGCAGAGUGUGGUAAACGAAAGCAAACAGUUGACUUACUUCUUGUGUAAACCAAACAGAUGAACACUCAUUCUUCUACUUAUCUCAGCAGGGUUGAAUCAAAUGAUGGCCACAGAGUUCAAAUACCUCAUGUUGAUUAAAAUCGGGGUUUUUUUGUAGGUUAUCUGAAGACAGACUACUUUUUCAAUGCACUGAGACAAUAGCAAUAAAACCUAUAAAACCGUGUUCUUCUUUUGGCACUAGCCCAUUGUAAACAGCAAGCUACCAGGCUUAAUGAGGCAAUUCUGUACCAUCACUUUUAAUAACUGAAUGUUUGUCUCCCGGCUAUUCAGGUGGGCUAUUACUGGUAUUUAAUAUUACUGGCAAUGUUGUUAUAUAUUCUGUGCCAGCCCUGGCAAAGAGCAAGGCGAUUCUUCCAGAUAACAGCCCUGCAAUAGCAUUUUUUUGGAUUUAACUGAGAGAAAGGCCAGGCAAAGCCCCUGCAUGCUUGUAUUUAGCUUUCCCUUUUCCUUGCAAAUGUUUUUUUCAAACACAGAAAGAGUUAAAUGUAAUAAUUACAGGCAUAAGCAUGUUGAUUCUAGCUUCUGUUAUAGCAAACAUAAAAAUGUAUUGACCCAAAAGGUAUAUGUUGAUUGAAGCAAAAAUUUGACGUCAAUAUAAACUCCAAAGCACUCUGUAUCUUGAUGCUUGGCACAUGAACGCUGUAUCAUAUAUACAGUGUGAAAUACUUAGGCUUGUUUUAAUUAGAUGGAAGAUAAUCUGGUGAUUGUGGUUCUCAUGGCAAGUGUAACGAUAUACAGCACGACUAUUUCUGCUGAAAAAAAUGAAAUUGUCAGCGACAAUCUGGAGGGCUGAGCAAACUGUUAAAUGAUGGCAAUUUAUUCUAUCAAUGACACUGAUGGUGUUUUCAGAGAAAGAGAUUCAUAUACUCUACCUAGCGUGCCCACAUUCUUGGAGUGAUUUUUUUUUUCUGACCAGCAUGUUUUGUACCAAUAUUUCCUCCCUACCCAGAAAUCUGCCGAUGGAGAUCAGUUUGUGGCUGAAGCUGUAGACAUUUGGUCCCAGUACCAUCCCUCCCUCCUCUGUAGAUAUGCUGGUACUUGUUUGGGCUUCUCCCUCUCCUUGUGCCUCCCACAUCUGAGGCUGGGUCCCUUGUACAGAUCACCCCACCAUUGUCAGCCUUUCUUCAUGUAAACCAGUGGUCCUGAGCUCAUAUUUUUCUCUGUCCCCAGUUCUGCACGGCACUGAAUUAUCUCCUGAGAGUUAUGCAGCCCUGGGCGAACUGGCCUGCCGAGGAGAGGGCAGCAGCAUGGUCAAGACCUGUUGAAGCAUCGUGGGUGCCUCACAGAGCUCCACCAACAUGCUAACUGGCGGAUCCAACCACGAGGUUUCCACCACGUGCAAAAUGAGGGGUUUCUUCUCUGUGCUAGCUCUGGUGCCUUCAGGGAAAAAUGUGGCAGACAAGACUGGUGCUUAACAGCAAAAGCCAGCUGGAGAAUCCCACUGCCUCCUCUUCCGGGGAAGAGCAACAAGGACAUCCAAGUCAAAGCAGCAAAACAGAGAACUUGCGUUUUCCCUCUUCUUCCAGGGCUCCUCUUUCUGCUGGCUCCUGGCAUGUGGAGGCUGAGAGUUUGGAUGUCUCCAGCUACACCAGUGCAUCACCAGGGAGGAUGACAGGGAGCAGCCUGGCAGUGUGCUGUGCAUCCUACCUGACUUGGCUUUCUAAGGGUUCAGGGAUCUCCUGCUCUAAUCCUUGCAUAUAGCCCAGGUGCAGGAUUCUUGCUUAGUCAGCCUGCCUUCCUUUUCUCUACUUUUUCAGGAAAAGCUCAGCAAAGAUGCCGCAUACAGGUAGGGUAGAGGCUUCAGCAUGAGGCGUCAGAAAUCAUAGCAGGCCGACCAGUGCAAUGGCAGGCCAUUUUGUUGUGUUGCAAUAUUGGCUCUGCCAUUAGCUGCCCAUCACAGUUGUGUUUGGUGCACUGGGAUAAUUUGGAUGGAGACAAAAUUCUGUGUAGCUGGGGUGAAUCAUGGGCUGCAGGAGCUGUGUGAGCUCCAGCCAUGUCUUGCAGGGCGAGCUUGCAUUUUGAGUGACUCAGAUGUUAUCUUGCCUCAGGUUCUUUCCAGGCUGUCAAAAUCAGUGCUGCUGGAUGAUCAUGUGGAUGCCAGAGCACAGAUGGUUUGACCUUAUUCUCCUUUUUUAAAGCAAAUUGGUGCCUUUUACAUAUUCUCAUCCUGGUGUAAAUCUAGCUAAUUUCUGCCUAUUCAGAAGAAAUCCUUAGUAGCCUUAGACGUUUAUGUACCAUUGAGUUGCUACAUAUCCACUUACAAAACUAAUAUUCAGUGUCUGUGUUUGCAGCUAGACAGCAUGUGGGAUCUGGCUGGGGUAAGCCGAAACCUCUUAUGGAUUAUUAAUAAACCCUGUCUGUGCUCUAUGGUGGAUGCCUCUAUCAGUUGAAAUAACAUGCAACCAGUUAAAUAUUUGGAUUCUGUAUAACAACUGGAAUAGCAAAGAAACGGAGAGCCGGUAACAUUAUUAUACAAUUUAUAAAGCCAAGCUACACCCAUAUCUUGGUUAAUGUGAGUGUUUAUAUACACUUACACACACAUAUCUGUGUAUCUAUAUAGUUAACUCUUCAGAUGAAGCUUGUACUGCAUGUGACAUGCUGCUUGAUAAACUUUGGACUGAAGUGGAAUAAAUUGCUCUUUUAUUUGCUGAA